UCCUCCUCGAGCUCCUCCUUGGUGCAGACAAUUCACCGCGUGAAUAGCUGCUUCUCCUUGAGCUCCUCCUUGGGCUAGGGGAGAUGCUUCGUGGAUAGCUCCUCCUUGGUGCAGGGGAUACACUGCGUGAAAAGCUUCUCCUUGAGGUCCUCCUCCAUGGGCUAGGGGAGAUGCUUCGAGCAUAACUCCUCCUUGAAUAGCUUCUCCUCGAGGUCCUCCUCCAUGGGCUUGGGGAGAUGCUUCGUGAAUAACUCCUCCGAGCCCUGCAUGGAGUAGGACUGCGAGAUACAGAGCAAUAGUGGUGUCUUCUAU
Molecule: long non-coding RNA, 312 nt
Filed under: Populus tremula
Lineage: Eukaryota; Viridiplantae; Streptophyta; Magnoliopsida; Malpighiales; Salicaceae
Description: long non-coding RNA (PTRE_LNC002922)
Source: RNAcentral